Non-coding RNA from Camelina sativa (false flax), 303 nucleotides. The record is from RefSeq and is a predicted model, not a curated record. Lineage: Eukaryota; Viridiplantae; Streptophyta; Magnoliopsida; Brassicales; Brassicaceae.
GCAGUGAAGACACCAUUCAGGAGCUACCUCCAAGAUAUGCUGGCUCUUGUGAAACGGGAGAGAGCUGAGCGAGAGGCUUUGGGAGCUCUACCUCUCUACCAAAGAACCAUUCCCUAAGCAUGUUAAAUUAGUCUCUCUUGUGCUAGAGUAAACCCCACUUAACCAAACAGAUCUUAAUAUUUUCUCUUUUUUCGUACUCUCUAGUCUUAAAUUUUCCGCACAAUCUGCUAUUGUAUGGUUUAUGUACAACGGUUUUCAUGUUAUAUUCAUUUAAACCUAUGCAUAAGAUUAUAUGAUGUUGAA